GACAGAGGGUGCAAACGUUGCUCGGAAUUACUGGGCGUAAAGGGCGUGUAGGCGGGAAGGUAAGUCGGGCGUGAAAUCCCCAAGCUCAACUUGGGAACUGCACUCGAAAACUACCUUUCUUGAGUGUCGGAGAGGAAAGCGGAAUUCCUGGUGUAGAGGUGAAAUUCGUAGAUAUCAGGAGGAACACCAGUGGCGAAGGCGGCUUUCUGGACGAUGACUGACGCUGAGACGCGAAAGCGUGGGGAGCAAACAGG
Molecule: ribosomal RNA, 254 nt
Filed under: uncultured bacterium
Lineage: Bacteria
Description: partial 16S ribosomal RNA
Rfam family: Bacterial small subunit ribosomal RNA
Source: RNAcentral